Long non-coding RNA from Suricata suricatta (meerkat), 748 nucleotides. RefSeq lists it as uncharacterized. The record is from RefSeq and is a predicted model, not a curated record. The transcript is spliced from 2 exons. NCBI's taxonomy places the organism in Eukaryota, Metazoa, Chordata, Mammalia, Carnivora, Herpestidae.
GGCUGCUGGUCGGAGGACCAGGGGGACGAGGGCGGGGGGGUGGCGGGAGGCGGCCUCGGGCAGUGGCCGCAGAGACCCUGCGCCCAGGAGCCUCCUUGGCAGAGGCGGAGAUCGGCCGGGAAGGCCCUUCACUCCGCUCCCAGGGGGGCUCGGCCUCUCCUCGGGUCCACGCUGCUACCCGGCCACGGACAAACCCCUGCGGCCCCAGUUCAGGCGCUUCCCCUUCUGAGAAGUGGGGUCCCCCCUGCCUGCAGGCAUCCCUGCGUGGGGCCCCGGCCUGCCCCCACUUCCCGUGCACCCCCGGGACGGCGCCCCGCUGAGGAGGGGCGAGAGGGCCUGGCCGUCUCCAAAACCCCACGACUCUGCAGGGCAGAAGUGGGAACCGGAGUGAUUCACAACGAGGGCGGAAUUCUCCGGGCUCCCCUGCUUGCCACGUUGACGGAUGCUCCCGCUUCUUCCACAAAAUGAGGCCUGCGCUCUCCAGCCUCCUUGACAAAGGACGUGCUGCGCCCCACGCUUGCUCUGCCCCCAGCCGCCUCCAGGAGUGGCGUGUCUCGGGGACCGCCUCCCUGAGACACUGAGUCUGACCCCCUCUGUCCUGGCAAACCGCUCAGCUGUCGCCGUGUGCUCAACCCCCCGCCUCCCUCCCAACCCCCAGGAGCCGCUGCAGCUCCCUGUUCCUGCUUAAUUUUGAAACGCAGUUCAUGUCAAAAUCUGUGUGCAUAUAAAUGACUCCGUGUUGUUGCAA